UGAUUUGAAAGUGGGAUAGGUUCUUCAUCCUAACUCCUAUGAGAUUUAUUCAACUUCCUGGUUAUUCUCCUUCGUCCGGACUCCGAUUGCGGCGUGGUCGGUGGCUACGGCUUCGUCUCGACGAGAGGAACACGAUGGUGGCUCUGCAUGCGCGAGAUUCUCAACGGUUAAGAAGAUAUGGCCGAUAUACUGAACGGACGAAAACAAAGCUUAAGAGGCGGCGGUUUCCGACGAUUCUCAGCUGAGGUUGAUGGUGAUGACGAGCUUGACGAUGUCCUGGCGUGCGGUGGCUCCGGCGAGGACUCCUGGUGGCAGCAUGCAGUGGUUCCUAUCUUUUUUUCUUUCACUCUCUCUCUUUUUCACUUCUUCUUCUCUCUAACUUUUCUGAUUUCUUUUUUUUGAUGCAGGUGGAGAAAACAAUGUGAAGAUGGGGUAUUUAUAAACAAACAUUUUAGUUUUGAUGUAUUGCUUGGGCCUUAGCCGGCUAACGAGUUCCGAGAUCGAAAUUCGGAUCGUUACAG
This 521-nucleotide long non-coding RNA is filed under the name Brassica napus (rape). RNAcentral describes it as "long non-coding RNA (BNAP_LNC006704)". The record is from RNAcentral. Lineage: Eukaryota; Viridiplantae; Streptophyta; Magnoliopsida; Brassicales; Brassicaceae.